Delphinapterus leucas (beluga whale) is the source of this 435-nucleotide non-coding RNA. Lineage: Eukaryota; Metazoa; Chordata; Mammalia; Artiodactyla; Monodontidae. The record is from RefSeq and is a predicted model, not a curated record.
GGAUUUAUUCUUUAAACAGACGGCCAUCUGUAUGGGGCCCCUCACCACCGGCCAGGGAGCUGCUGUGGGAGACGUGGGCAUGUUGAGCCCGUCCCACUUUUGUGUCCCAUUUGGGCCAAGCAGCCCCCGCGACCUUCUCCCAGAGAAACACUGCGCGAAGUGUCUCCUUCCGCUGCCCCAGGAGCUGCGACCCAGAAGACGGAGGAUGGAGGCUCCAGCCAAAGGUCACGUUCAAACGGUGUCUUGUUUGCUCAACUCCUGCCAAGGCCGAAAAGUGCACCCACGGACAGCGAUCUCUGUGUUCCUGCAGUUCCCAGCGCACGGUUGGCUACAGACCGGGCACCUGGCUCACAGCAGGCAAAACACCCAGCAGGGACGUGACCCCUAAGGUGGUGCCUCCCAGCGUGUGACCCAGGGGCCUCCAGCAUCAGCAUC